AACAACUAUUCUCUUCUUAUCUUCAAUUUAUUCUCUUCUUCUCGUCCUCGAUCUGCCGCUAAUGUUCCCCUGCUUUAUCCGAAGCUCGUCGACGGCGGCCAGUGGAGUCCGGGGAGAUUCGCGGGAGCUAUCCUGUUAGCGAUCAUGUCGUUCAACGGCGGCGUUUUCAUAGUGGUGAUGCUAGGGUUUUAGUAGUAUAACAAGCGGACCUCACCAGUUGUGGAAAAUGUUGGGUAAAACCCUAAUUCGCACUGGUGCUACUUUCAUGAACCGAUUCAUGCCCUUCUCUCCAAUUCUUCCUCCUUUAUGGUACUCUCUCUCUCUCUCCACUCUCCCCAUAAUCUAGAAAAAAACUAUUAUAAAUUUAGCUUUCACUUCAAUAAUAAUGUAGUUUUAUUUUGUAUUCGGUGUUAUGUAUAAACUUUAUUCAUAGGGCCUGUUUUGCUUAAUUUCGAGUGCCUGUGUUUUAUGUAAAUCUUCAAAGGAAAGUGCUUUGGAUGUUUAGUUUCAUUUUGUAUUUACUUGUUUUGGACUAUGUUAAUAUAUCUGAAUUACUAGCCAGUUUGUCUUUUGAAAAAGCAUGUCCAUUACUGUUGAUCGUUCCCUUUGUUAGUGGUAGCAAUGGAAAGUAGAUUACUAGAGUUUUAGAUAAUUGUAGCUCUUCAUAAAUGGACAAAAGUUAAAUAUACUUUGUUAGACCGGGUAGUAAACAACUGUCCGAACCAAUGAAAAGUAUUUAUGCCAUGAGUAAGUCACCUGCCAGACUCUUUAUGAUUGUGAUCAUAUUCAUCUAGCUAAGGCAUUUGAAUUAAUUGUCUAGGUGAAAUGGAAUCAAUUUUGUAGUUUAAUUAUUGAAUAUAGGAAAAUUUGUAGAGACGGCAAUGAAAAGAAUUCAUUGUAUUAGUAGAAGAUUAGAGGUUGAACUUUCGACUUAGAUCAACAACAAAACUCAAAUUGGCUAUAUUUUCCAAUUAAAUUUUAGAUGGUACAUGAUUACUGCUCGUGAUUCUAUUACAUGGACAUAUUUUAUUUUUCUUGUAAUGUCAAAUGCAUGUGUUUUCUUAUAAAGGAUUAUUUGCAAAGCAGAUUUCCCCCAAUAUCUUGAGUGAAAACUGUCACUACCCUCUUGGUUUAGGUCUUGUAAAGAUAUUGCCUUGACUUGGAUUAAGUUAGUGGCUUUGGAUACAUUAGUUUGACUUCUUUUGGAGAAAGAGACCAGUUCAUCCUUUUCCGCAUCAAAUUAACGUUUCCUUAAGAGUUAAAACAACACUUUCAGUUGCUGUUGUGGUUCGUGGUUUCUUGUUUUCUUUCAGUGUUUUUUAGCAUAAACUGUUGGGUUCUAAGCAGAUAAUGCUAUUGAUAUCUUCUGUUGGCUUUUUACGAGUCUUGAAACUUUUCAAUUUUCAUAUUAAACUGUUGCUCGUUCUUUUCUAUAGGCAAUGACUCUUCACCAAGUGAGCCAAUGCUGUUAUUUCCCAAACGAACAAACCAACCAAGCACCAUUAGGCGCAAAAGGAAUCAUGGGUUCUUGGUUCAGUAUAUCUAUCUUCUUGUGUAUAUGUUUGUGUGUGUGCGCGCGCGCAUGUGUAUCUUCAUACUUAUCUCGUGCCCUUUCUUUUGCUUUUAACAUUGAUCAAGUAACUUUUGUAUACUUGUAGAAGUUUUUUUUAAAAUCUAUAUUGUCCCCUUGCCCCAUAUUAAUUUCUAAUGUUGUUAAUUUGAACUGAAUGUUGUGGCAGUUGGAGGAAAAGGGACUCAAGUUCCAAAGUCAACUGGUUUGGUUGGUUGCAGGGUUGUGCCUAAGCCUGCAUUAUCUUCCAAAUCAUCAUCUUCGGCUUCUUUUGGUGCAAUCAAGGAGGCAACAAAUUCUGAUAACUCAUGUGAUAGUUCUAGUAGUUCUUUGUCUAACAACAUUCGUGAAUCUCUUCCAAGUUAUUAUGAAGAAUUGGCAAUACAAGAAAACUGAUGUAAUUCCCAAAGGUAGCGAAUCUAUCGAGUAUGACUUAAAUACCAUGCUAGAGGCCGAAUAUGGAAAGAAUGCCAGUGCUAUUAGAUGUCAAAAUAUACAUAUGUAGAUUUACCAAGGGCAGUAUUAUUACUUUCUCAUAUAUUCUAGACCAAGUCUUUAGAUGGAGGGAGUUUCUCAUAUAUUCCAACUAUUAUAUUGUAAUGUUAUAAUGUGAA
RNAcentral lists this long non-coding RNA (2184 nucleotides) under Panax ginseng (ginseng). RNAcentral's name for it is "long non-coding RNA (PGIN_LNC010230)". Lineage: Eukaryota; Viridiplantae; Streptophyta; Magnoliopsida; Apiales; Araliaceae. The record is from RNAcentral.